GACCUCGAAUCAGGUGGACU
This 20-nucleotide ribosomal RNA is filed under the name uncultured fungus. RNAcentral's name for it is "partial 28S ribosomal RNA". The record is from RNAcentral. Lineage: Eukaryota; Fungi.